GGUAUGCUGGUUCUAAAGCUAACUGAGCUGACCCUGAACUGAAUCAAACUGCCAAAAAUGUACCGUGAUGUUGUCAUCAGGGCCGCCUGUCCUCGUGGAGCCCCCUCAUACCUUCACCUCAGCCUACAAUCCUUUUUAAUUCAACCUCCACCCUUCGAGGACUGAUUGAUACCAACACCCAGGCCUACAGUAUGAACAGAGUGUGUAAGCCUGAGUGACAGAGCUGGUGUUGGAAGUGAAUCCAGAGCCGGAAACAAACUUCACCCUCCUGUAGACCUGACAGACAAGUGUGGCGUCAGACCCCCAGAGACCCCUCAUGGUUGAACAUGCUCUGUUCAGCAGUGUCCUUGGAUUCGUCGAAUUUGUCUAGUGCUUGUUUGAGCUCGUCGUCUGUCAGCUUGCC
This is a long non-coding RNA of Thunnus maccoyii (southern bluefin tuna), 403 nucleotides long. RefSeq lists it as uncharacterized. The record is from RefSeq and is a predicted model, not a curated record. The transcript has 3 exons. NCBI's taxonomy places the organism in Eukaryota, Metazoa, Chordata, Actinopteri, Scombriformes, Scombridae.